Molecule: long non-coding RNA, 320 nt
Organism: Silurus meridionalis
Lineage: Eukaryota; Metazoa; Chordata; Actinopteri; Siluriformes; Siluridae
Exons: 3
Source: RefSeq, a predicted model, not a curated record
CUCUGCAAAGUUGUUGGAGAAGUGGUGCACCAGCUUAAAACCAAAGGUUAUUGCCCAGAGCCGUGGCCUCACACAGACUUGUGAGCUCCAAGACCUCAUCCAAAAUGCUGAAGCCAAUGAAGUUGAAGAAGACUUGUGCCAGUAUCCAAGGGCACCUGGAUGGAAUUGGAGAAAGUCUCCAGCCGUAUCUACUUGCUGUCGGACCAAAGAAAAGUGUCGCCACAUCACAUUCAAAAACCUCCUCCUUGGCCUUCCUUUUUUCCUCCUUCCUGGCGGCUCCAUCCUCAGCAUUCUACCCCAUGGCCCUUUCAUCUCAACCA